GGCGGGUUGGCAGAAUGGCCAUGCAGCGGAUUGCAAAUCCGUCCAUCUCGGUUCGACUCCGGGACCCGCCUCCA
This 74-nucleotide transfer RNA is filed under the name Rheinheimera pacifica. RNAcentral's name for it is "tRNA_Cys_GCA". It matches the Rfam family "tRNA". From Rfam's summary of the family: Transfer RNA (tRNA) molecules are approximately 80 nucleotides in length. Their secondary structure includes four short double-helical elements and three loops (D, anti-codon, and T loops). Lineage: Bacteria; Pseudomonadati; Pseudomonadota; Gammaproteobacteria; Chromatiales; Chromatiaceae. RNAcentral also lists the same sequence under 10 other names. The record is from RNAcentral.